This 254-nucleotide ribosomal RNA is filed under the name uncultured bacterium. Its description in RNAcentral is "partial 16S ribosomal RNA". It matches the Rfam family "Bacterial small subunit ribosomal RNA", at positions 524 to 776 of the family's 1533-position model. The record is from RNAcentral.
GACGUAGGGCGCGAGCGUUGUCCGGAUUUAUUGGGCGUAAAGAGCUCGUAGGCGGCUUGUCGCGUCGACUGUGAAAACCCGUGGCUCAACCAUGUGGUCUGCAGUCGAUACGGGCAGGCUAGAAUUCGGUAGGGGAGACUGGAAUUCCUGGUGUAGCGGUGAAAUGCGUAGAUAUCUGGAGGAAUACCGGUGGCGAAGGCGGCGUUCUGGACCAUUACUGACACUGAAUCGCGAAAGCUAGGGGAGCAAACGGG